RNAcentral lists this ribosomal RNA (253 nucleotides) under uncultured bacterium. RNAcentral describes it as "partial 16S ribosomal RNA". It matches the Rfam family "Bacterial small subunit ribosomal RNA", at positions 524 to 776 of the family's 1533-position model. The record is from RNAcentral.
UACGUAGGGUGCGAGCGUUGUCCGGAAUUAUUGGGCGUAAAGAGCGUGUAGGCGGUCCGGUAAGUCGGCUGUGAAAGUCCAGGGCUCAACCCUGGGAUGCCGGUCGAUACUGCCGGACUAGAGUUCGGAAGAGGAGAGUGGAAUUCCUGGUGUAGCGGUGAAAUGCGCAGAUAUCAGGAAGAACACCCGUGGCUAAGGCGGCUCUCUAGUACGGUACUGACGCUGAGACGCGAAAGCGUGGGGAGCGAACAGG